Non-coding RNA from Carica papaya (papaya), 236 nucleotides. NCBI's taxonomy places the organism in Eukaryota, Viridiplantae, Streptophyta, Magnoliopsida, Brassicales, Caricaceae. The record is from RefSeq and is a predicted model, not a curated record.
AAUUGAGAGAAAUCAGAGGUGAAAUAGAGAAUUUGAGAGAGAAGAAGGUAGAGUGCAGGGAGAGGAACAAACCUGAAUCAUAGGAAAGACCAGCGUGAAGCCCGUAGGAGGAUUUCUCUUUUUUCUCGAUAAGCAAAACUUCAGCCCGGAGCCUUUCUUCUGCUGCACCUGAACACGAAAACAGAGCUAGCACCAAAGUGUCAGGAUUGAUGGGCACUCGCGGUUUUGCACGUGGG